This 232-nucleotide unclassified non-coding RNA is filed under the name rhizosphere metagenome. RNAcentral's name for it is "partial ribosomal RNA internal transcribed spacer region". The record is from RNAcentral.
GUAGGUGAACCUGCGGAAGGAUCAUUACCAUUACCUCAACAGGUGGAUUUCAGCGGUUCUUCGGUUCCACUGACUCCCGCCUGAUUGACGUUACCCAUGCCUUUUUGCGUACAGUUUGUUUUCCCAGCAGGGCAUUCUUGCCCCUACGGGAUAUCAAUCCACCCAUGUAUUUGCAGUCAAUGUCUGAAAAUUAUAAUAAUUACAACUUUUAACAACGGAUCUCUUGGUUCUG